RNAcentral lists this transfer RNA (74 nucleotides) under Victivallales bacterium. RNAcentral describes it as "tRNA-Gln". It matches the Rfam family "tRNA". From Rfam's summary of the family: Transfer RNA (tRNA) molecules are approximately 80 nucleotides in length. Their secondary structure includes four short double-helical elements and three loops (D, anti-codon, and T loops). Lineage: Bacteria; Pseudomonadati; Lentisphaerota; Lentisphaeria; Victivallales. The record is from RNAcentral.
AGCCCGUUGGUGUAAUGGUAGCACAACUGAUUCUGGUUCAGUUAGUCUAGGUUCGAAUCCUGGACGGGCUGCCA